CCUGUUAUUAAAAACAUGGCUUGUUGAGUAUGUUUUCAGGUCUGGCCUGCCCGCUGAUUUUUGAAUGGCCGCGGUAUAUUGACCGUGCAAAGGUAGCAUAAUAAUUAGUUUUUUAAUUGAAAGCUUGAAUGAAAGGUUAAAUGGAAAAAUUACUGUCUCUAAAAAAAUUUAAUAGAAUUUUAUUUUUGAGUAAAAAAGCUCAAAUUUUUAUGAAAGACGAGAAGACCCUAUAGAGUUUUAUAAAUAAACAGUUUUCAAUAAUUAGGAAUUAAUAGUUUUGGACCUGUAUAAUUUAUUUUAUUGGGGUGAUGGGAAAAUUUGAGAAACUUUUCUUUGUUUAUUAUACUAAUAAGUAAAUAAGUGAUCCUUAAGUUGAGAGUUACAAGAAUAAAUUACCUUAGGGAUAACAGCGUAAUUUAUUCUAGAGUUCUUAUCGAAGAAAAAGUUUACGACCUCGAUGUUGGAUUAAAAUAAAUUGUUGGUGAAGAAGUUAACAAGAUUAGGUCUGUUCGACCUUUAAAAUUUUACAUGAUCUGAGUUUAAACCGGUGUAAGCCAGGUCGGUUUCUAUCU
RNAcentral lists this ribosomal RNA (572 nucleotides) under Trigonopterus minahassae. RNAcentral describes it as "partial large subunit ribosomal RNA". It matches the Rfam family "Bacterial large subunit ribosomal RNA", at positions 1799 to 2643 of the family's 2925-position model. The record is from RNAcentral. Lineage: Eukaryota; Metazoa; Arthropoda; Insecta; Coleoptera; Curculionidae.